GAGAGAGAGAGAGAGAGAGAGAGAGAGAGAGAGAGAGAGAGAGAGAGAGAGAGAGAGAGAGAGAGAGAGAGACUUCGUAGUAGGUACUAAUAUUUUUAUGCGUCUUAAGUUUCUCUUUUCGUGUGUGUAAACAAAAAUAAAAAAAAGGCAUUGGGUGUGGUGGUGAUGAUGAUGAUGAUGGUGAUGAUGGUGAUGAAAUUGUUGGAGGGCUUACUGAUGGUGGUGAUGACUUAAGUGGUGUUGAGGCGUGGUGGUGAUGCAGGUGGAGGUGAUACAUGGUGUUUGCAAUUUUACUCCUUUUUAGUGGUGGUGGUGGUGGUGGUGAUGGUGGUGGUGGUCAUUAUUGUGGUGUAGGCCUAGUCUGUGGUGGUGGGUGAUAUAUAUAAAAAAGUAAUGUCAUUUGGUAUUGUUUUCGAGUUUAUAAGUGGUGGUGUUUUGAUGGCUGUGGUGGAGUUAGUUUAGUGGUGGUGGUGGUAGCAGUGGUGGUAUAGAUGGUUAAGAAAGUCCUGUUAGUGGAUCUAGUGAUGGUGUUGAUGGUGAUGUUUGGUGGUUAUGGAGGUGGUGGAAGAAGUGGUGUUGAAGGAGAAUGUGGUAGUGGUGGUGGUGUUAAAAGUGGUGGUGGUGGUGAUGUUGGUGAAGCUUUACCUAGUGAUGAUUCCGUUUUUGGUAGUGGUGAAGGUGGUAUUGAUGGUGUUGAUGGAAGUGGAAUUGGUGUUGAAGAUGGUGAUGAAGAUGGCAGUGGUGAUGGGGAGAGUGGUGGUGCUCGUGGUGUUUAUGGAGAUGGUGGAGCUGGUGAUGAUGGUGGAGUUGGUGGUGAUGAAUGGUGUUGGUGGAUGGGAUUGAUAGAAGUGGUGAUGGUGUUUUUGGUGGUGUUAGGAAUGGUGUUGGUAUUGAAGGAGGUAAUGGUGUUGGAGACGGAGAGAUAGGUGGUGAUGGUUGUCGUGGUGAUGAAAGUGGCGAUGGGUGGUGAUGUUGGUAAGAUUCAGGUGGAUGUGAUGUUGAUGUUAGUUGAGUUGAUGGUGCUACUGGUGGAGGUGGUGUUGACAGAAGUGGUAAUGGUGGUGAUGAUGGUGGUGAAGGUGGUGUAAGUUAUGUAAUGGUGUUGAUGGGAGUGAUGCUGGUUAAGGUGAUGGCGUUAAUAAAAGUGGUGGUGGAGGUGAUGCCGGUGGUGAUGAAGAUGAAAGUGAAGAUGGUGUUGAAGAAGGUGGAGGUGGAGGAGGUGGUGAUAAAUAAUGUGGAAGAGGUGGUAUUAAUGGUGUAUGUGGUGGAGGUGAUGCCGGUGGUGAUAAAGCUGAAAGUGAAGAUGGUGUUGAAGGUGAAGGUGGAGGAGGAGGUGGUGGUGAUGAAUAAUGUGGAAGAGGUGGUGGAGUUGUGAUGUUAGUGGAGGUGAUGUGAGAAGGGGCAGCGAUGGAGUUGAACAUAGUGAAAAUCCGGAUCCUUUUGUGGUGUUGGUGGUGUUGACAAAACUGGUGAUGUUGGUAGUUGAGUUAGAGGGGGUGAAAGUGGUGUACCUGGCGUGGUGUUGAUGGCAGUGCUGGUGUUAGUAGUGGUGUUAAGAGACGGUGGGAAUGGAAGUGGAGGUGAUAAGUGGUGUUGAUAGAAGUGGGGGAAAUGGUGGUUCUGGGGUGGUGAUGAUGAUGAUGAAAUUUCAGGUAUUAGUGGUGUUAGAGGUGGUAUUAAAAGUGGUGGUGUUGAUUGAAGUGCUUGUGUUAGUGGAGGUGUUUGCCGAGGUGUUGUGUUAGUGAAGGUGUUUGCCAAGGUGCUGGUGUUAGUGGUGGUGUUAAUAGGAGUGCUGGUGUUAGUAGUUGUGUUAGAGGAGGUGCUGGUAUAAGUGGUGUUAGUGGAGUAGUUUUUAGAAGUGCUGGUUUUGAUAGUGGAGUUAUAGGUGUUGGUAGUGACGUUAGAGGAGGUCCUGGUAUUAGUGGUGGUAUUAGAGGAGGUCCUGGUAUUAGUAGUGGCGUUAGAGGAGGUCCUGGUGUUAGUGGUGGUGUUAGAGGAGGUCCUGGUGUUAGUGGUGGCGUUAGAGGAGGUCCUGGUGUUAGUAGUGGCGUUAGAGGAGGUCCUGGUGUUAGUGGUGGUGUUAGAGGAGGUCCUGGUGUUAGUGGUGGUGUUAGAGGAGGUCCUGGUGUUAGUGGUGGUGUUAGAGGAGGUCCUGGUGUUAGUGGUGUUGGUAGAGGAGGUCCUGGUGUUAGUGGUGGCGCUAGAGGAGGUCCUGGUGUUAGUGGUGGUGUUAGAGGAGGUCCUGGUGUUAGUGGUGGCGUUAGAGGAGGUCCUGGUGUUAGUGGUGGCGGUAGAGGAGGUCCUGGUGUUAGUGGUGGCGGUAGAGGAGGUCCUGGUGUUAGUGGUGGCGGUAGAGGAGGUCCUGGUGUUAGUGGUGUUGGUAGAGGAGGUGCUGGUGUUAGUAGAGGAGGUGCUGGUGUUAGUAGAGGAGGUGCUGGUGUUAGUAGAGGAGGUGCUGGUGUUAGCCGUGGCGCGAGACAGAGGCGGUGCUGGGGUGAGGUGUGAGCGGCUUCAACCCAGCGGACGAGAGAUAAGCCGGGGCUGGUUUUCCCCCGGAGGCGAGACGUGGCAGCAGGGGAA
Long non-coding RNA from Eriocheir sinensis (Chinese mitten crab), 2580 nucleotides. RefSeq lists it as uncharacterized. The record is from RefSeq and is a predicted model, not a curated record. NCBI's taxonomy places the organism in Eukaryota, Metazoa, Arthropoda, Malacostraca, Decapoda, Varunidae. The transcript has 5 exons.